GGAUUGUAGGCUGCAACUCGCCUACAUGAAGUCGGAGUUGCUAGUAAUCGCGGAUCAGAAUGCCACGGUGAAUACGUUCCCGGGUCUUGUACACACCGCCCGUCACACCAUGGGAGCUGGUAACACCCGAAGUCAGUAGUCUAACCGCAAGGAGGACGCUGCCGAAGGUGGGAUUAGCGACUGGGGUGAAGUCGUAACAAGGUACC
RNAcentral lists this ribosomal RNA (206 nucleotides) under uncultured bacterium. RNAcentral's name for it is "partial 16S ribosomal RNA". It matches the Rfam family "Bacterial small subunit ribosomal RNA", at positions 1295 to 1500 of the family's 1533-position model. The record is from RNAcentral.